AAGUCGUAACAAGGUCUCCGUUGGUGAACCAGCGGAGGGAUCAUUAUCGAGUUCUACGCUCAAAACCCCCUGUGAACAUACCUAUUACAGUUGCUUCGGCGGGUUGCCGGGCUCGCCCUCGUGCGCUUCUGCGCCCAGGGCGACCUGGCCGCCUCAGACCGGCCCGCCGGAGGUCUCAAACUCAACGUCUACGCUUUUGCAUUGGAAUCUGAGUGUAAAAAAAAUAAGUUAAAACUUUCAACAAUGGAUCUCUUGGUUCUGGCAUCGAUGAAGAACGCAGCGAAAUGCGAUAAGUAAUGUGAAUUGCAGAAUUCAGUGAAUCAUCGAAUCUUUGAACGCACAUUGCGCCCGCCGGUAUUCCGGCGGGCAUGCCUGUCCGAGCGUCAUCUCACCACUCAAGCCCAGCUUGGUGUUGGCCGACGCGGGUACAGCGGGCCAGCCACCGCCCCCGGGCGUGGCGGGCCCGCCCGCGCGGCUCAAAUACAGCGGCGGAACGGUGUCGAGUUUCCCCUACGCGGUAGCAUAAUCUCGUAUCGGAUGACCUUCCCGUCUCAGCCCACAACCAACGGGGGUCCCGGCCCCCAUCAAGGUUUGACCUCGGAUCAGGUAGGAAUACCCGCUGAACUUAAGCAUAUCAAUAAGCGGAGGAAAAGAAACCAACAGGGAUUGCCCCAGUAACGGCGAGUGAAGCGGCAACAGCUCAAAUUUGAAAUCUGGCCCUUGGGUCCGAGUUGUAAUUGGCAGAGGAUGCUUUUGGCGAGGGUCUUUCCAAGUUCCUUAGAAUAGGACGCCGCAGAGGGUGAGAGCCCCGUACGGUUAGCCCCCGAGCCUGUGUAAAGCUCCCUCAACGAGUCGAGUAGUUUGGGAAUGCUGCUCUAAUUGGGAGGUAAAUUUCUUCUAAAGCUAAAUACCGGCCAGAGACCGAUAGCGCACAAGUAGAGUGAUCGAAAGAUGAAAAGCACUUUGAAAAGAGGGUGAAACAGUACGUGAAAUUGUUGAAAGGGAAGCGCUUGUGACCAGACCUGCGUCCGGCGAAUCACCCAGCCCCGGCUGGUGCACUUCUCCGGCGUAGGCCAGCACCGGUUUACCGCGGGGGAAAAAGACGGUGGGAAUGUGGCUCCUCUGGAGUGUUAUAGCCCGCCGUGUAAUGCCCUGGGGUGGACCGAGGUACGCGCUCUGCAAGGGUGCUGGCGUAAUGGUCAUCAGCGGC
Molecule: ribosomal RNA, 1210 nt
Filed under: uncultured fungus
Lineage: Eukaryota; Fungi
Description: eukaryotic LSU rRNA
Rfam family: Eukaryotic large subunit ribosomal RNA (bases 593-1210)
Source: RNAcentral